AGUGAACGCUGGCGGUAGGCCUAACACAUGCAAGUCGAACGGCAGCACAGUAAGAGCUUGCUCUUACGGGUGGCGAGUGGCGGACGGGUGAGGAAUACAUCGGAAUCUACUUUUUCGUGGGGGAUAACGUAGGGAAACUUACGCUAAUACCGCAUACGACCUACGGGUGAAAGCAGGGGAUCUUCGGACCUUGCGCGAUUGAAUGAGCCGAUGUCGGAUUAGCUAGUUGGCGGGGUAAAGGCCCACCAAGGCGAUGAUCCGUAGCUGGUCUGAGAGGAUGAUCAGCCACACUGGAACUGAGACACGGUCCAGACUCCUGCGGGAGGCAGCAGUGGGGAAUAUUGGACAAUGGGCGCAAGCCUGAUCCAGCCAUACCGCGUGGGUGAAGAAGGCCUUCGGGUUGUAAAGCCCUUUUGUUGGGAAAGAAAAGCAGCAGGUUAAUACCCCGCUGUUCUGACGGUACCCAAAGAAUAAGCACCGGCUAACUUCGUG
RNAcentral lists this ribosomal RNA (492 nucleotides) under uncultured bacterium. RNAcentral's name for it is "partial 16S ribosomal RNA". It matches the Rfam family "Bacterial small subunit ribosomal RNA", at positions 29 to 507 of the family's 1533-position model. The record is from RNAcentral.